AUCUAUUUGUUUACAAGUAUAAAAGAGGUGAUUACUUAAAUAUUACAAUUUAUUGUACUCGAUUCCCCAUUAUUCCUGGUCACAUUUAGUCCCCAAACUGUCUUUUCUAGUAAUUGGAUGGAAAUCGUUCGACUUACUGUCGAAAAAAUACUUACGCCUGAAAUAUAGAUCAACUGUUGAGAGUCUUGAGACUCGUUAAGCCGAGCUUUUGCUUUUGUAAAAGAUCUUCGUAAGAAAGCAUUUUACUUGAUGUUUGAGAACUCAUUUCUAAAGACAAACCUUUUAAAUGAACUCACAAUGGAUCGAUUUCUUCAAAAAAAACUCUUCUAUCCAAUAGAAAUUAUUUUAUAAAAUUAUUCAAACUUUUUUUUUUUUAAAUCUCAAAAGCAACCCAGAAUUUAUUUCCAUCCAUUUGUCUUUAUGUGCAUCAAAAUAGACAAUUUGGAGAACGUAAAUGCAACAAAAGAUGAAUACAGACCCAAGCAAUACAAGUAGUAAUGUUUGGGACUAUGGGGUGAAAUUUUCCGUCACAUUAAUUUGAAAGACAUCAUUGUUCAACGCCCAAUUUGAAGGGAACGAGAGCUUACUUUCUAAGCUAAACUGUGAAUAAUGGAGAUCGAAGCCGGAAGGCGAGGUAGACGGAAAAACUGGCCGCCUGCCCCCCUUCUCGUGUAGCCGUAACACGGCGGCGAUCAACUCAUCAACGGUGUCCUCCGGCGCCAUCACUACUUGCACGGCACCGAGGCUCCUCUGUAUCGUCACAUUAACCAACAACUUCGUCAGCUUAGGUUUUCCGUGUGGCAAUGCCGGCAAAUUUGCAACAACUCUUUUCCCGGUGAAAAAUUCCUUUGCCGUCCUUGUCCUUGGCUGCAUCUCCAGCACAGUCCCGCCGCUUGAGGUUUUCCCCGAUAACUUUCCCUUCUCGUUCUCCUCGUGGCCUCCUUCACGGUAAUUCUUCGGUGACGGCAUUUAAUAUAGAUGACUCUGUAUUCUGUAUAUAUGUGGUGUGGGUGGCAAUAUCCCCUCUAUCUUAGAAGAGGGGAUCCCAAAUUACUGUUCAUCUGUGAUUUGUU
This 1073-nucleotide long non-coding RNA is filed under the name Olea europaea subsp. europaea. The record is from RNAcentral. Lineage: Eukaryota; Viridiplantae; Streptophyta; Magnoliopsida; Lamiales; Oleaceae.